GACGAACGCUGGCGGCGUGCUUAACACAUGCAAGUCGAACGGAAAGGCCCUGCUUUUGUGGGGUGCUCGAGUGGCGAACGGGUGAGUAACACGUGAGUAACCUUCCCUUGACUUUGGGAUAACUUCAGGAAACUGGGGCUAAUACCGGAUAGGUGCUCCUGCUGCAUGGUGGGGGUUGGACAGUUUAGGCGGAUGGGGAUGGACUCGGGGCUUAUCAGCUUGUUGGGGGGGUAGUGGCCUACCAAGGCUUUGACGGGUAGCCGGCCUGAGAGGGUGACCGGCCACAUUGGGACUGAGAUACGGCCCAGACUCGUACGGGAGGCAGCAGUGGGGAAUAUUGCACAAUGGGCGGAAGCCUGAUGCAGAAACGCCGCGUGCGGGAUGACGGCCUUCGGGUUGUAAACCGCUUUCGCCUGUGACGAAGCGUGAGUGACGGUAAUGGGUAAAGAAGCACCGGCUAACUACGUG
This 468-nucleotide ribosomal RNA is filed under the name uncultured bacterium. RNAcentral describes it as "partial 16S ribosomal RNA". It matches the Rfam family "Bacterial small subunit ribosomal RNA", at positions 28 to 507 of the family's 1533-position model. The record is from RNAcentral.